GGGAAGAACAAAGUACCGUUCGAAUAGGGCGGUACCUUGACGGUACCUAACCAGAAAGACACGGCUAACUACGUGCCAGCAGCCGCGGUAAUACGUAGGUGGCAAGCGUUGUCCGGAAUUAUUGGGCGUAAAGGGCUCGCAGGCGGUUUCUUAAGUCUGAUGUGAAAGCCCCCGGCUCAACCGGGGAGGGUCAUUGGAAACUGGGGAACUUGAGUGCAGAAGAGGAGAGUGGAAUUCCACGUGUAGCGGUGAAAUGCGUAGAGAUGUGGAGGAACACCAGUGGCGAAGGCGACUCUCUGGUCUGUAACUGACGCUGAGGAGCGAAAGCGUGGGGAGCGAACAGGAUUAGAUACCCUGGUAGUCCACGCCGUAAACGAUGAGUGCUAAGUGUUAGGGGGUUUCCGCCCCUUAGUGCUGCAGCUAACGCAUUAAGCACUCCGCCUGGGGAGUACGGUCGCAAGACUGAAACUCAAAGGAAUUGACGGGGGCCCGCACAAGCGGUGGAGCAUGUGGUUUAAUUCGAAGCAACGCGAAGAACCUUACCAGGUCUUGACAUCCUCUGACAAUCCUAGAGAUAGGACGUCCCCUUCGGGGGCAGAGUGACAGGUGGUGCAUGGUGU
RNAcentral lists this ribosomal RNA (620 nucleotides) under Bacillus sp. EGU163. Its description in RNAcentral is "bacterial SSU rRNA". It matches the Rfam family "Bacterial small subunit ribosomal RNA", at positions 442 to 1051 of the family's 1533-position model. Lineage: Bacteria; Bacillati; Bacillota; Bacilli; Caryophanales; Bacillaceae. The record is from RNAcentral.